Molecule: small RNA, 55 nt
Filed under: Arabidopsis thaliana (thale cress)
Lineage: Eukaryota; Viridiplantae; Streptophyta; Magnoliopsida; Brassicales; Brassicaceae
Description: ATSL170110
Source: RNAcentral
CAGUACCCGGAAGCAAGCAAAGAUUCUACCGUCUCUACGUUUGUUUUGAAGCUUU